GCUGUGGAUUGUCCGUAGGACAAUGGUAGGAGAGCGUUCUAAGGGCGUUGAAGCAUGAUCGCAAGGACAUGUGGAGCGCUUAGAAGUGAGAAUGCCGGUGUGAGUAGCGAAAGACGGGUGAGAAUCCCGUCCACCGAUUGACUAAGGUUUCCAGAGGAAGGCUCGUCCGCUCUGGGUUAGUCGGGUCCUAAGCUGAGGCCGACAGGCGUAGGCGAUGGAUAACAGGUUGAUAUUCCUGUACCACCAAUAUUCGUU
This 255-nucleotide ribosomal RNA is filed under the name Staphylococcus coagulans. Its description in RNAcentral is "partial 23S ribosomal RNA". It matches the Rfam family "Bacterial large subunit ribosomal RNA", at positions 1199 to 1458 of the family's 2925-position model. Lineage: Bacteria; Bacillati; Bacillota; Bacilli; Caryophanales; Staphylococcaceae. The record is from RNAcentral.